GGGGUCCAGUUUCCUUAGCCCUCGGAUCUAAAUAUUGACCUGAGUGGCUAAAAGAAAAGGAGGAAAAGUAAACUUUAAGUGGACUUGGAGUCUUUAGUGACAUACAAGUUCAUUUCAAGCACGA
RNAcentral lists this small nucleolar RNA (124 nucleotides) under Echinops telfairi (small Madagascar hedgehog). RNAcentral describes it as "Small nucleolar RNA SNORA61 (ENSETEG00000026068.1)". The record is from RNAcentral. Lineage: Eukaryota; Metazoa; Chordata; Mammalia; Afrosoricida; Tenrecidae.